GGCGAGUAAAGAGGGAAAAGCCCAAAUUUGUAAUCUGGCUCUUUUAUGAGGGUCCGAGUUGUAAUUUUGAGAACUGUUUUCUGUGCUGGACCAUUUCUAAGUCUGUUGGAAAAUAGCAUCAUAGAGGGUGAUAAUCCCUGUAUGUGAUAUGGACUACCAGGGCUAUAUGAUACAGUUUCUAAGAGUCGAGUUGUUUGGGAAUGCAGCUCAAAGUGGGUGGUAAAUUCCAUCUAAGGCUAAAUAUAGGUGAGAGACCGAUAGCAUACAAGUACCGUGAGGKAAAGAUGAAAAGAACUUUGGAAAGAGAGUGAACAGUACGUUAAAGUGUUGUAAGGGAAACACUUAAACUUAUCGUUGUGCUUGUCAGUUCAGCCCUCUCAUCAGGGUGUAUUCUGACAAAACACGGACCAACAUCAGUUUUUGAGUCUGGAUAAGGGUCUUGGGAAUGUAGCAGUUUAGGCUGUGUUAUAGNCCAGGAUUUAGAUACAGUGCUUAGGACUGAGAGAUAUUUGCAGGAAGC
This 520-nucleotide ribosomal RNA is filed under the name Phragmidium mucronatum. RNAcentral describes it as "eukaryotic LSU rRNA". It matches the Rfam family "Eukaryotic large subunit ribosomal RNA", at positions 88 to 608 of the family's 3401-position model. Lineage: Eukaryota; Fungi; Basidiomycota; Pucciniomycetes; Pucciniales; Phragmidiaceae. The record is from RNAcentral.